This 254-nucleotide ribosomal RNA is filed under the name uncultured bacterium. RNAcentral's name for it is "partial 16S ribosomal RNA". It matches the Rfam family "Bacterial small subunit ribosomal RNA", at positions 524 to 776 of the family's 1533-position model. The record is from RNAcentral.
CACGUAGGGUGCGAGCGUUGUCCGGAAUUAUUGGGCGUAAAGAGCUCGUAGGCGGUGUGUCGCGUCGGCCGUGAAAACCUGCAGCUUAACUGUGGGCUUGCGGUCGAUACGGGCAUCACUGGAGUUCGGCAGGGGAGACUGGAAUUCCCGGUGUAGCGGUGAAAUGCGCAGAUAUCGGGAGGAACACCGGUGGCGAAGGCGGUUCUCUGGGCCUUACCUGACGCUGAGGUGCGAAAGCGUGGGGAGCAAACAGG